AAUGGGGGGCAACCCUGAUGCAGCCAUGCCGCGUGUGUGAAGAAGGCCUUCGGGUUGUAAAGCACUUUCAGUUGUGAGGAAAGGUGCGUAGUUAAUACCUGCGUACUGUGACGUUAGCAACAGAAGAAGCACCGGCUAACUCCGUGCCAGCAGCCGCGGUAAUACGGAGGGUGCAAGCGUUAAUCGGAAUUACUGGGCGUAAAGCGCACGCAGGCGGUCUGUUAAGCUAGAAGUGAAAGCCCCGCGCUCA
RNAcentral lists this ribosomal RNA (250 nucleotides) under uncultured bacterium. Its description in RNAcentral is "partial 16S ribosomal RNA". It matches the Rfam family "Bacterial small subunit ribosomal RNA", at positions 370 to 611 of the family's 1533-position model. The record is from RNAcentral.